This is a long non-coding RNA of Trachemys scripta elegans, 301 nucleotides long. RefSeq lists it as uncharacterized. The record is from RefSeq and is a predicted model, not a curated record. Lineage: Eukaryota; Metazoa; Chordata; Testudines; Emydidae. The transcript has 3 exons.
UAGUCAGUCGGCAGAGGAUUACAGACAACUCUCUGUGGAUUAUUGUGACUCCAGCAGCAUUUCGGAGAGCACAUCUUUGAUACUGUCAAACAGGGGCUGCAGGAGAGGGAGAGCUCCGCAAGCACAGCAGGCGUGGGACCCAAACCUGAGUGGGUCGAGGACACACAGUAGCUACAAGCUCUUCAUUAACAGAUCAGCAAGUGCUGUGGAUGAAAUCCCUGCUGGGACUCAGAAGAACGACAAGCCCAACCUUCUGAAGUUAGGCUCUACCUUCUCGGUGUCUGCCAAGGACUCAUUAGCA